This is a non-coding RNA of Phrynosoma platyrhinos (Desert horned lizard), 72 nucleotides long. The record is from the annotation of a GenBank genome assembly. Lineage: Eukaryota; Metazoa; Chordata; Lepidosauria; Squamata; Phrynosomatidae.
GCCAGUGUGGAGCAGUGGUUUGAGUGUUGAUCUAUGACUCUGGAGACCAGGGUUCGAAUCCCUGCUUGGCCA